This is a long non-coding RNA of Entelurus aequoreus (snake pipefish), 520 nucleotides long. RefSeq lists it as uncharacterized. Lineage: Eukaryota; Metazoa; Chordata; Actinopteri; Syngnathiformes; Syngnathidae. The transcript has 3 exons. The record is from RefSeq and is a predicted model, not a curated record.
CAGGCUUGAAUGUACUGGAUCCUUUUCGCCUCUGACUGAUUGAAAGGGAAGCUGACACCAUUUGGAGGCUCUAGGCUGUGGGGGAUGCAUUGUGGUCUUGCUCCUUGCAAUUCAUCCUUGACUGCUGUGCGCUCCUCUCCUCCUCCACUCAAUCUACAAUCAACACACCUGACGCUGAUGAAAGCUCCCCUGCUUUCUUAAGCCAGCGUGUCCUGCAUUCCAGUGCCAGAGCGUAGCUACUUGUAUACGUACACUUUGCGUCAUUCCCUGGUUUCGAGCUGUGUGUCUCGUCUCCCCGGAUCCCCUUUGGAUUCCCUCCUGCCUUCCCGGAUCUCGACCUUUCGCCUGCCUCCGGACAACGACGCUUCGCAUAAGCCCCUGAUCACUGGCCUGUACCCGGACCUCCGAGCCUGCCUUGCCCUUUCUGGACUUCCGCGUCUGUCUCAACACACACCUCCAACACCUCCCGGUAACACUCAACAGAUAAUCACUUCACGUAGUCUCACCACACGUCUUUGGA